UUCAGUUUUCGAACAUGCGCAACGAAAUCGUCUUAGUUUGCAAGGACUUUGUGCGACGAUUUAAGAUGAUUUCGUCACGCAAGGGUCUUCAAUAGUAAAAUAAUUAAACGAAAAAUUGGGCGGAUUUUAAAUUUUUCGACAGACACCUUCAUUGCGCAAAGUGCAUCGUAUUAAAACUUAUAGAGAGCACCUCUUCUCUCAUUCUUCCUCGCGAACCCAACUACUCUCUCUCACUGUCCGUCUUCCCAAACCUCUAUCUCUAAUACAGGCUUUCUCUCGCCUUCUCUCUCGCCUCUGUCACCUCUCUCUCUUAGGCAAGUUUCUCACCAUUGCAACAACCAAAACCCUCAACUGUCAUCUCUCACUUCAUCGCAGUUGUUGUAGUUGAUUAGGCAACAUCGGUUAGUGAGUAGGUCAUCUCCGACACUUCCCUCACCUAAUACUAUUGUCGCCACCUCUCCUUCGACACUGGCUCCGACGUCAAGGUCUUUGGUACCUCUGCCCCAGCCCACGAUGUCUGUAAUGCCUGAGUCAUCGACAUAUUCAGUGACUCAUCCGUUAGUGUGAGCACUCGACAGUCUCAUAGACGGCCCUGGAGUAGUGAGGAGCAUGAGGAGUCUGCAUCGGCUUCCAUAGUUGAGGGAAAAUGAUCCGAGACAGUUCGUAAAAGGACUAAGGGCCCAUGCAGAUUCCUGGGCAUAGCACAGCUCACGCGCACCACCUAAGAGCUUAUCAAGAUUACGUGGGAUGCUCGACAUCGGACGACAGUAACAAAGGAGCAGCACAACCACUUGGUCCAUGACGUUGGCUCUAUUGUGCGUCACCAUUGCCCCUGUAGUGGGAAUCUUGGAGAGCUAUCCCAACGGAGACCAAGGCCUCCGUUCUUCAUGAGUUAUCGGCUAGUACUGUCGACUUUUAUGACUAUUUUUUUAAUAAAGAAGUGAACAUUAAUGAAUUUUAACUUGAUUAAUAAUUUUCCUAUUUGCAGCAUCAGUAUGAUCUCCAAGACCUUGAUGCCAAGCAAACCAAGUACAUACAAGAGCUUUUCACCGACCGGUUCACUUAGUGGAAGAGCGACUUUCACAAGAAUUUCGAGAAAUAUGAGGAUCUGGUUGUUGCUUUAGCACAUGGGUGCCCCAUGGGGUUGGUGAAGCACCCUGAAGAUUGGAUGUGGCUCUGCACCUAUGUUCAGGAUGAAAUAUACCUCAAAAGAGUCAAGGCCAAUGCGAUAUAUAGGUCAAAGAAGAAACUUUUCCACCACUACGACUCUCGACGCUUCUCAUAUAGGAUAGAGGAGCGACGUCAGGGUCAAAGUUUCUUAAGAUUGACAUGUUCAAUAAGGUGUACGUGCGGCACAAGGAUGAGUUGAUGGAUGAGCUCCAUGCUACUAUGGUGGAGAAGAGUCAGGCUAUUGUUGAGGAGGUGGCUUCCCUGCUUCCCCCCGAUCAAGGAGGUGCCCCACCUCAAGGAUGCGGAGUUUUGUAUCAUGACGGACACCCUCGACUACAGACUUGGUUAUGGGCCAAGGAAGGUGUAUCGGGGCAUGGGAAAUGCUCAUCAUCGUGAGAUGGGAGCCUCCUAUUCCAUAUCGGCCUUGGGACAUGUCGCAUCGUUGACAUAGCAAGUAGCCAAACUCCAGCGGCAGGUGGUGGCCUAAAAUACCCACAUUGCAGCCUAGACUGCCCCAUAUCACCACCCAAAAUGCCCAUAUUGCUACCUAGGAGUCUAGGAUGAUCCAGAUCAUCUUUGUGCUUCAGGUUCGAUUCAACAUCCCCACCGUUACACCUCCUUCUCAUACACCUUCUACCUCCAAGAACCCUAACCCAACACAGCCGACUAGCAGAGUUGAUAGUAAUGAUUUCUUGUUGUAGUCUUUUUUUUUUUUUAAACAUUCGUACUUCUUAAGUUUUUUCCCGCUUGUAUGUACAUUUUCAUAUUUAUUUUAAAUCAAUAUUUUUCCUUAUCAA
This is a long non-coding RNA of Pyrus x bretschneideri (Chinese white pear), 1967 nucleotides long. RefSeq lists it as uncharacterized. The transcript is spliced from 6 exons. The record is from RefSeq and is a predicted model, not a curated record. NCBI's taxonomy places the organism in Eukaryota, Viridiplantae, Streptophyta, Magnoliopsida, Rosales, Rosaceae.